CGAACGCUGGCGGCAUGCCUAACACAUGCAAGUCGAACGAGACCUUCGGGUCUAGUGGCGCACGGGUGCGUAACGCGUGGGAACCUGCCUUUAGGUUCGGAAUAACUCAGAGAAAUUUGAGCUAAUACCGGAUAAUGUCUUCGGACCAAAGAUUUAUCGCCUUUAGAUGGGCCCGCGUUGGAUUAGCUAGUUGGUGGGGUAAAGGCCUACCAAGGCGACGAUCCAUAGCUGGUCUGAGAGGAUGAUCAGCCACACUGGGACUGAGACACGGCCCAGACUCCUACGGGAGGCAGCAGUGGGGAAUAUUGGACAAUGGGCGAAAGCCUGAUCCAGCAAUGCCGCGUGAGUGAUGAAGGCCUUAGGGUUGUAAAGCUCUUUUACCCGAGAUGAUAAUGACAGUAUCGGGAGAAUAAGCUCCGGCUAACUCCGUG
This 431-nucleotide ribosomal RNA is filed under the name uncultured bacterium. RNAcentral's name for it is "bacterial SSU rRNA". It matches the Rfam family "Bacterial small subunit ribosomal RNA", at positions 30 to 507 of the family's 1533-position model. The record is from RNAcentral.